This 413-nucleotide ribosomal RNA is filed under the name bacterium enrichment culture clone ALO1_GLFRUDD03HE1KN. RNAcentral describes it as "bacterial SSU rRNA". It matches the Rfam family "Bacterial small subunit ribosomal RNA", at positions 9 to 424 of the family's 1533-position model. The record is from RNAcentral.
GAGUUUGAUCAUGGCUCAGAUUGAACGCUGGCGGCAUGCCUUACACAUGCAAGUCGAACGGCAGCACGGGAGCUUGCUCCUGGUGGCGAGUGGCGAACGGGUGAGUAAUGCAUCGGAACGUAUCCUGGAGUGGGGGAUAACGUAGCGAAAGUUACGCUAAUACCGCAUAUUCUGUGAGCAGGAAAGCGGGGGACCUUCGGGCCUCGCGCUCUCGGAGCGGCCGAUGUCGGAUUAGCUAGUUGGUGAGGUAAAGGCUCACCAAGGCGACGAUCCGUAGCAGGUCUGAGAGGAUGAUCUGCCACACUGGAACUGAGACACGGUCCAGACUCCUACGGGAGGCAGCAGUGGGGAAUUUUGGACAAUGGGGGCAACCCUGAUCCAGCCAUGCCGCGUGAGUGAAGAAGGCCUCGGUU